UCCCUGAAGGGCUCAGCCGCCAGGCCAGUCCUCGCCCGCGGAGGCCCAGCCCCAGGCCCCGUCGCCGGUGCGGCGCGGUGGUCCUCCUGUCAGCCCAGCCCUGCGCCCCGCGAGGCCGCGACACCUGCGGACGGCGGGGGGGAGACGUGGCCGCUCCCAGGGCCGCGCGUCGGCCCUGCCUGGCGACAGGCCCUGGCUUCCAGAAGUUCCCAUGGCAGUGUCCCCAGCUGCCUUUCCUUGGGGACACCUGGCCCCUGCCCCCUCUCUGGUGGAAGCCGCCUAAGCCCUAUCCGAGUGUUGGAAGCAAAGCAGCCCCCAGCCUGGCCCUUCCAGUCUUGGUGGCUUCAUCCCACCAGGGGGAUGCGAGCCAGCCUAGAGACAGUUAGCUCUGCAGAGAGGCGACACAUCUCCCUAAGGAUGGGAAAACGGUGGCCGGGAGCUGCGCAGUGCCCUUCCAGGACUGCAGGAGUGGUUGUGGCCGUGGCUGCAGGGCAGGGCCUCCUGGCACGUGGCCGCUGUUUGAAGCCUCUGUCUCUUGUCUCUCCCUUCUGAUCUAGCUCUGGCAGGCUGCCCUGAGCACGCUCAACCCCAACCCCACGGACAGCUGUCCCCUCUACCUGAACUACGCCACCGUGGCUGCCCUGCCCUGCAGGGUGAGCCGGCACAACAGCCCCUCGGCCGCCCACUUCAUCACGCGGCUGGUGCGGACCUGCCUGCCGCCCGGAGCCCAUCGCUGCAUUGUGAUGGUCUGCGAGCAGCCGGAGGUCUUUGCUUCCGCCUGUGCCCUGGCCCGGGCCUUCCCGCUGUUCACCCACCGCUCAGGUGCCUCUCGGCGCUUGGAGAAGAAGACGGUCACCGUGGAGUUUUUCCUGGUGGGACAAGACAACGGGCCGGUGGAGGUGUCCACAUUGCAGUGCUUAGCGAAUGCCACAGACGGCGUGCGGCUAGCGGCCCGCAUCGUGGACACACCCUGCAAUGAGAUGAACACCGACACCUUCCUCGAGGAGAUUAACAAAGUUGGAAAGGAGCUGGGGAUCAUCCCAACCAUCAUCCGAGAUGAGGAACUGAAGACGAGAGGAUUUGGAGGAAUCUAUGGGGUUGGCAAAGCUGCCCUGCAUCCCCCAGCCCUGGCCGUCCUCAGCCACACCCCAGAUGGAGCCACGCAGACCAUCGCCUGGGUGGGCAAAGGCAUCGUCUAUGACACUGGAGGCCUCAGCAUCAAAGGGAAGACUACCAUGCCGGGGAUGAAGCGAGACUGCGGGGGUGCUGCGGCCGUCCUGGGGGCCUUCAGAGCCGCAAUCAAGCAGGGUUUCAAAGACAACCUCCACGCUGUGUUCUGCUUGGCUGAGAACUCGGUGGGGCCCAACGCGACAAGGCCAGAUGACAUCCACCUGCUGUACUCAGGGAAGACGGUGGAAAUCAACAACACGGACGCCGAGGGCAGGCUGGUGCUGGCAGAUGGCGUGUCCUAUGCUUGCAAGGACCUGGGGGCCGACAUCAUCCUGGACAUGGCCACCCUGACCGGGGCUCAGGUGAGUGCUCCCUGGAUCCACCCCUUAGCUGUGGUCCCAGGGAACCCCACCCCACUCUUGACCUCGAGGUGGGGAAGGCAGCGCGUGGGGGCUGCCGUCAGGAAGUUUUCAUAACUGGGCACGAGGAGGCAGGAGGAGCUGCCCGUCAAGCUUGGUGUGGGCAGUGCCGAGGCCCAGGCUGGAUGCAGAGCUGGGAACCGCCUCCUGUGUGCUUCAUGGCCAUGGUCCUUUCUGCCUGUGUUUUUUCUUUUUUUCUCAACCGUCUCUUUUCUGGCUCCCUUAUUUCUCUGUCUGCCUCCCGGUCCCUCUUUUGCCUUGGGUGUUUCUCUCCUGCCGUCCCGUCCACACGCUUCCCGGGUUCCUGCCCGCCCAGGGCAUUGCCACAGGGAAGUACCACGCCGCGGUGCUCACCAACAGCGCUGAGUGGGAGGCCGCCUGUGUGAAGGCGGGCAGGAAGUGUGGGGACCUGGUGCACCCGCUGGUCUACUGCCCCGAGCUGCACUUCAGCGAGUUCACCUCAGCUGUGGCGGACAUGAAGAACUCAGUGGCGGACCGAGACAACAGCCCCAGCUCCUGUGCUGGCCUCUUCAUCGCCUCACACAUCGGCUUCGACUGGCCCGGAGUCUGGGUCCACCUGGACAUUGCUGCACCGGUGCAUGCCGGUGAGCGAGCCACAGGCUUCGGUGUGGCCCUCCUGCUGGCGCUCUUUGGCCGUGCCUCUGAGGACCCUCUGCUGAACCUGGUGUCCCCACUGGGCUGUGAGGUGGAUGUCGAGGAGGGGGACGUGGGGAGGGACUCCAAGAGACGCAGGCUUGUGUGAGCCUCCUGCCUCGGCCCUGACAAACGGGGAUCUUUUACCUCACUUUGCACUGAUUAAUUUUAAGCAAUUGAAAGAUUGCCCUUCAUAUGGGUUUUGGUUUGUCUUUCUGGUCGUCAGCAUGGUGGUGGAAACAGCUAAAGUUUUAGGAGACGGCUUAGGGUUUGGUGCGGGCCACGGGGAGGGGACCGGGAAGCGCUGGGGCUUGUUUCUGUUACUUACAGGACUGAGACAUCUUCUGUAAACUGCUACCCCUGGGGCCUUCUGCACCCCGGGGUGAGGCCUCCUGCCUGCCUGGUGCCCUGUCCCAGCCCCAGGUCCUGUGCAGGGCACCUGCGUGGCUGACAGCCAGGCUCUUACUCCAGCCGGGGCUGCCAGCGCAUCCAGCCAGCCCAGCCCUGUGAAAGAUGGAGCUGACUUGCUGCAGGGGACCUGAUUUAUAGGGCAAGAGAAGUCACACUCUGGCCUCUCAGAAUUCACUUGAGGUUCAAUUAAAUACAGUCACACCACCCCCUCACCUGGCCUCGUUCUUCUUUCUCCCCCUCCAUUUUAGAAACGGGUCCUGGAGCCCAUCUAGGGAAUGUAGUGCAGGGCUGCCUCCUGCUUCUCCCAGACCGGCUCUGGCUUUGAGCCCCAGCUGGUCAACCCAGUGUUGAUGACAGGAGCCCAGGACCUGGGGAGGAGGACAGGGGGCCACUGGGCCUAGGCCUGGCCUUCCUGACCAUUUUGAUUUUCUGGGUGCACACAGCACAGACUCCAGGUGGAAGUGCUGUGGGCUCCUGAACUCUCUACAGCCCGGCAGCCUGCACGGAGGCCGUUCUGUCUCUCGAGGGUCCUGGAGCCUGCGCUGUGUGAGGUCGACUGUGCUUCCGUGCCCCUGGGCACUGUCCUAGGUGAUAAAGGGCAGGGCCCCGAAGCCAAUUCGGAUCUCCCGGGAGCCCCGCCAGGAUUCAGGGAACCCCUGAACCUGGGCUCCAGGAAAAGCAGCUGGGCCACCAAUCCUCCUGCGCCACCCACCACUUAGCCAUCGGGCCGUCUUCAGGGCAUCGGCCAGCCUCAGCUGCUGCAGCCAGACCCUGGCGUUGUGGAAGGCUGGCCAGUCCACAUCCUGCAGCCUACGAGGAGGUCAGGUCUUUGUCAGCAAAGGUGGGAAACCAGGGGAACGGCGGCACCAGGCUCCAGAGACAUUUGAAAUGACUUCAGAAGACCCAGGGCCACUCAGGGUGACCACAUCGGACAGCUGCCCCUGACAGGCUGUGACGGAUGUUUAAGGAAGGGAUCGAUGGUCACCUGACUCUCAGGAGUGCAGGAGAGGCCACUGAGACCCAUUCAGAAGGGACUGGGUGUUGGUCCCUGUGGACUCGGCCUCUGGCUGGUGGUGAGGAGGAUUUCUCACCAGCCAUCCUCUGGCCCCUGCUGCCUAAGGGAGCAGACUCGUGUGAGCUGGGUUCCGGGAAGUCCGUCUCCAGCAGGAACUCCAGGCCAAGCGCACAUCUCUGUGAUCGUGUGUCACCAUGGCGGUGCGUGCGUGAGAGCAUGCGUCUCCAGCAGGAACCCAGGCCAAGCGCACAUCUCUGUGAUCGUGUGUCACCAUGGCGGUGCGUGCGUGAGUGCAUGCGUGUGCACUGGUCUGUGGCCUGUGGUGCGUGAGUUCCACUAGGACCCAUGUGAGGUGGAGGGUCUUCCACCUCCCCUCCCAUUCGGGCCCUCCCUGUGCCACACAGACACCCAUCUGUGCCUUCCCCUUCUGUGCCACCAAAAAUGGAAGAGAUAGACACUUAAAAGAAGCAACUCAAAUGGAAUGAAAUCGUUUCUGUUGGGGAAUGCUCAGACGUUCAAUCAUCUUAGAAAAUCCCACCCCACCUCCCGCUGCAGAUUAAUUACUGUAAGUGCAACUCCAAUCGGGCUGGUGACCCCCCAGGAAACCUCUGAAGCUGUCCCAGGCUGUUCCCAACAUGGGACCUCCACUCUGGCACACCAGGACCCGAGGCCCCUGACAGGCUCCUCGUUCCUGCCUCGCUCAAGGCUCAGGUCCCCCACCUGAAAUACCCCCUCCCACCAGCAUCUCCUGCCUCGCUCCUGCUGCCAGGUCCCCAAAAGCUCUUGUUCAUGAGCUCGCCUGCCAUCCACAGCCCCCACCAGAACCCAAGUGGCUGUGGAAUUCGCUGCCCUGAUUCUCUGCCCAGAGCCUCGGUCCAGACUGUGUUCCCUGGCGAAUUAGUGUUCAGCAUUUUUGUUUAUUUGUUUGUUCUUUAACAAAAGUUGUUUUGGUUUGAGAUUCAGCAAAAAUACACACUGCAUUCAGCUUCCUCUCCAUUCAGGAUUCAGUAAAUUGGUUGUUUUCCCGUCUGCUUCG
Molecule: small RNA, 4705 nt
Filed under: Pan troglodytes (chimpanzee)
Lineage: Eukaryota; Metazoa; Chordata; Mammalia; Primates; Hominidae
Description: retained intron
Source: RNAcentral